This is a long non-coding RNA of Cephus cinctus (wheat stem sawfly), 1007 nucleotides long. RefSeq lists it as uncharacterized. The record is from RefSeq and is a predicted model, not a curated record. NCBI's taxonomy places the organism in Eukaryota, Metazoa, Arthropoda, Insecta, Hymenoptera, Cephidae. The transcript has 4 exons.
GUCGGCUUAUGUAGGCUAAUAUGGCCGGCCGUCAAGAGCGGUACGACUGCGGAAAAACAACGUCUCUCGCUGGGUAUACGUUAGGUACCAUAAAACGGAAUAGAAACGUGUAUUAAAAGAAGCAGGUGUGGAUACAUAAAGGAACGUGAAGUUGGUAAUGAAUCAGUGAGUCGAGGCGAAGUUAAUAAACGAAUAGAAGCUGUACAGUGUGAGAAGUGGGGUUAUGUUGACUACUGUGUAUUAUAUGAAACUUACCAUCACGGCACUUUCGACCUUCUUCCUCGCGCCGGCCAAAAAAAGGAAGAGAAAAAUGAAAACAGGAGAAUCCGUGAGCUCUACUGAGUGAAAGAGCACACACUGGGAAUGAAAUUAAUGCUAGGCACGCACGGUCAAGGUAUUUCAAUGGCGUGUCUCGGUGUCAGAAAAAACAAUGGUUAAAGGUGGAUUUUUAUAAUUAGCACCGUGCAGCUCCCAUAUUUCUGUUCCUGUGGCUUUCGAUCGACAUAUGCACCACACAGAACAGAAUUAAUUCAAAUUACCUUGACGUUGCGUAUCGAAUUUCUUAUUCCGUGUAAAAUCAGACGUCUUCUUGUCGCCUGAUUGAAAAUCAACUCGAGUACAGUUAUACACAUAGUCACAUAUACGACAGGAAGAAAUGAAAGAGUAAGAAAAAAAAAGAACAAUAAUAAAAAGCAAAGAAAAAUCCAUCGUCCAGAAUGCCCGGUGCUCGCGACAUUCUGUUCCGUCCUGAUUUAUUUAAUUUAUAGACGGUUGCGCACCAACGUUUUUGCACACACGGAGGGGGCGGCCCAGGGGCGUACAACAAUAACAUCACUAUAAUGCACUUCCUCGUCCAGCCUUCCGAACCACCGACAAACGAGCGUUCUCCACGUUAUCCAGAGCUCGUCGCGCCAGAAGAGAGAAGAAUAACCGUGGCAGAUGUUAUCGACUCGAUUGUAUACGAGGAUGGUAAAUGUAGAGAUAUGUGUAUAUAAGGUGAAAAUAAA